CCCCAGUUCCAUUAAAGUUGGCCACAUUUCCUUUAGUUUGUUCCACUAAAGUUGGUCACUUUCUAAAAAUGUAAAUAUUUAUUUUAGUUAAAUCCAAUUAGUUCAUUUAAUUAAAAUUUUCUAAUUAAAUCUAAACCGUCUUUAUUUAAACACACACACACACAAAAUACACACUAACACACGCACACAGCCAACCCCCCCCCCCCCGCGCCCCACCCCCUUCUCUCUUUUUCUCCGACAGCCGAUCUCAUCGCCGACGGCCGCCCCGUCCCCUAACCUCCCUCUCACUCUCCCUCGCCUCUGCUCUCUCAUGUCUCGCUGCGCGCGCACACACACACACAAGAAAAUCACCAUGGGAUCUAGCCCUCCAGCGCCUCCCUCCACCUAGCGCUGCUCCACAGCCUCCAUUUCGGGCUAGGGCUUUGCCUCCGCCGCCGAUUUAGGGCUAGGGCUUUGCCUCUCCACAGCUCCGCCUCUCCUGCCUCUCCGAUUUGGGGCUAGAGCUUUGCCUUCGUCGCCGAUUUAGGGCUAGGGCUUUGCCUCUCCGCCGCUCCGCCUCUCCAGUUGGCGCUGCCUGGUGCGUCGUUUUACACCAAAAAUAUCCGGCAGUCAGCCGGUAUGCCCACACUGCGCAGACAGCAGUAAGCAAAAUCGUCUCCCAAGGGACUGGCGAGAAUUUCUCCAAUUAAAGUCUGCAAAGUAACCACGAAAUUUUGAGAAGAAAAUAUGGAAAUUACUAAACUUAAAAUUAAAUAAAUAAAAUCCGAAUAAACCAAUUUUUCCAAUUAACCAAAAGAUGAAUAAAAAUUCCAACAAUUAAUAAAAGAAUUCCAGCAAUCAAUUAAGUCCACCCUAGCUCAAUUAUUCCGAUCAUCGAUGCAAAAAUAACUUUAAAUCAUGCAAACAAACCAGUUAUAACCACCGAAGACGCUUCUGACGUGAUCUUAUUUCUCCUUAAUUAUUCGGUAACCAGGAAGACGCUUCACUAAUUACUACCCUAAUCGACUGACAACCGUAAGAGACGCUCUAUAGGUUUAAUGAGCCGAUAGCAUUAAUAUCUAGAGAAACCCGAUUCAAAACCAAUAAACUCUGACGCAGGAUUAUUGAAUUAAGACUGCUUUUCCUUUGACCCUGAUGUGUCAAUUUACCACUAAUCAAACCUAAACCACAAUUACGGAUGGCCGGUUCAAUUGGCUAUAUAAUUAAUUCUAACCCAAUAAAUAUUUGCAACUAUCUAAUGGAUUAAAACAAUUAAUAUCAUUAAACAUGGAGAAUCGCAGAUGCAAGCAUAAAAUAAAGUAUAAGAACAAUUAGAUCUCACAGAAUAAUUUCGCUAGUGCUUCCUUAAUCGUUGCCGGAAUAAACGAAUUUAGCUAGAAAACAUAAUAAUUAAAUAACAAAAGAAAUAAAUAAAAAGAAUAAAUUGCAAAGAAUGAUGAAAGAAAUAAAACUUGAUUGGAAGAACUCCAAAAUCGCAGUGCUGCUCUCAAAAGUUGGUGUCUGAAUAUAUGAU
This 1513-nucleotide long non-coding RNA is filed under the name Salvia miltiorrhiza (redroot sage). RNAcentral's name for it is "long non-coding RNA (SMIL_LNC011564)". Lineage: Eukaryota; Viridiplantae; Streptophyta; Magnoliopsida; Lamiales; Lamiaceae. The record is from RNAcentral.